RNAcentral lists this ribosomal RNA (459 nucleotides) under uncultured bacterium. RNAcentral's name for it is "partial 16S ribosomal RNA". It matches the Rfam family "Bacterial small subunit ribosomal RNA", at positions 338 to 795 of the family's 1533-position model. The record is from RNAcentral.
CCUACGGUGAGCAGCAGUGAGGAAUAUUGGUCAAUGGGCGCGAGCCUGAACCAGCCAAGUCGCGUGAGGGAAGACGGUCCUAUGGAUUGUAAACCUCUUUUGUCGGGGAGCAAAAGACGCCACGCGUGGCGUUCCGAGAGUACCCGAAGAAAAAGCAUCGGCUAACUCCGUGCCAGCAGCCGCGGUAAUACGGAGGAUGCGAGCGUUAUCCGGCUUUAUUGGGGUUAAAGGGUGCGCAGGCGGAAGAUCAAGUCAGAGGGAAAAUUGAGAGGCUCAACCUCUUCGAGCCGUUGAAACUGGUUGUCGUGAGUGAGCGAGAAGUAUGCGGAAGGCGUGGUGUAGCGGUGAAAUGCAUAGAUAUCACGCAGAACUCCGAUUGCGAAGGCAGCAUACCGGCGCUCAACUGACGCUCAUGCACGAAAGUGUGGGUAUCGAACAGGAUGAGAUACCCUGGUAGUC